Molecule: long non-coding RNA, 326 nt
Organism: Homo sapiens (human)
Lineage: Eukaryota; Metazoa; Chordata; Mammalia; Primates; Hominidae
Exons: 3
Source: RefSeq, a predicted model, not a curated record
GGAACAGGAGGUGAAUGGAAGUUUUUCAAAAGAUUAAGAUUUUGAGAGUAUCAGGUGGGGAAUAGAGGAAAAAUGACUGGAUAGACCCAGUGUGGUCAAGGAUGGGCCAAGGGAAUUGAAACAUGUAUUGCCAUAUAUUUAGAGAGGGAUGACGGCGUCCCUUCUGGUCGACUGCUGCCACAACAUGAGAGAAAUGCCCAGCUUAGGACUGCUUCCAGUGACUGAGGUUGCAGUUCCAACCACGCACAUGAGCUGCCCCAAAGGAGCUACUCACCUGAGUGACAGCACAGCAGUGCUGUCGGGGAUUUCAAGUGUCCUUCUUUCCA